ACGUAGGGGGCAAGCGUUGUCCGGAAUGAUUGGGCGUAAAGGGCGCGUAGGCGGCCUGGUAAGUCUGGAGUGAAAGUCCUGCUUUUAAGGUGGGAAUUGCUUUGGAUACUGUCGGGCUUGAGUGCAGGAGAGGUAAGUGGAAUUCCCGGUGUAGCGAUGAAAUGCGUAGAGAUCGGAAGGGACACCAGUGACGGAGGUGACUAACUGGGCUGUAACUGACGCUCAGUCGCGAAAGUGUAGGGAGCAAAAAG
This 251-nucleotide ribosomal RNA is filed under the name uncultured prokaryote. RNAcentral's name for it is "partial 16S rRNA". It matches the Rfam family "Bacterial small subunit ribosomal RNA", at positions 525 to 775 of the family's 1533-position model. The record is from RNAcentral.